Oreochromis aureus is the source of this 1441-nucleotide long non-coding RNA. The record is from Ensembl. NCBI's taxonomy places the organism in Eukaryota, Metazoa, Chordata, Actinopteri, Cichliformes, Cichlidae.
GGAGAAAUGCAGACAGUUCUUGCGGAGCUGCUGCCUAAACGAGUGAAAAAAAUAUUAAAAAACAAGCCAGAAGUCUACAUAAAGCCAUUGUUGUACUCUGGAGAAUAUAUUUUUGUUUUUCCGACCUGUCUUUGCCUUGGUGACGUUGUGAACGUAACCGAACGGGACUUGGCCAUUAAGGUUUGGAUCGGGAAAUGCCGAACUAGAAUCGGAGUUUGAUCCGCUGAGCGAGAAACAAGAUGGCGAGCCACCCAGGGACCCAUUGAACUGUACCGAGCAGGAAAAAGGAAACUGCCCCUGCUGGACGUUGAACUCUUUCACUAAAAACUGGUAGGAUUAAUCCAUACACCUCUGCAAAAGAACAGUGGACUUUCAAAGCACUGGAUAAUCGUUCAGAGCAAUUCCAGGAUUUAUAGUUAAAGGACACGGAGACAAUUUUCUUUUGUUUAUUUGUUUGUUUAAGGGAUUUGUUCAGCCUUUUGCUGAAUUGUUUUCAGUUUUUACAUGUUUUUGUAAUUUAUUUUGGACAACCAAUUUUAAUGCUGUAAUGGUGUUAAUGGAAAUGUAAAUAAUUUUGUUGGGUUUAAAACAAAAUAAGAACGGGUUGAAAUUUAGAGGUGAACUUAGACCAAGAUUAAAUUAAAUCUUGGGCUUAAAAGAACUAAACUUGAUUUAAAAUAACACAGUGUUAAUGCAAAUAGAUCAAAGGAUAAACUUGAACUUAGAACUUGAAAUGAAUAAAACAAUAACCUAGGUUGAAAAUAACAUCCCUUUAAAGCCAAAUAAAAGGUUUUGAAAUAAAUAGGAUAAAUUAACAGAAAUUACUGAACUAAAAGGGAAAGAAAAUAUCUUGUUUCCUUAAAGGUGUGUUGAAUGUUUUAUGUAAUGUGUCUAUAACUGUCUUUUCUCUGUCUUUUUCAAAAUAACAAGCCGGCAAUUUAAACGUAUUUUCUGGUCUGUGGUCUUUAUCACAUCCUACACUCAUUACUACUCUAGUAGCCGAACCUAACUGGUCCUAGUAUACUGUAACGACUCCAGAAGUGUUACACUUAUGUGGAUUCUCUCUAGGUGCUUUCGCUCCUUUCCACAGAUUAAUGACUCAGACGUUUUGCAGGCUGGAUUAAUUUGUGCCUACCAGUAGGUGGGAUUGUUAUUGUGAAUGGAUGUCUUUCUUAUUGUGUCAAGCACAUGAACGUAGGUGGUAAUGCUAUUGUGAAUGCAUGUCUUUUUCUUCAUGUAAGCCCUGUGACUGACUGGCAACCUAUCCAAGGUCUAUCCGCCUCUGCCAACUGUCACCUGGGAUAAACUCUCUUACUUUGAAAUAGACGACUAUAGCUAAUGAAUAGAUGAUAAAUUACCCCCCCAAAAACCCAUAGCUGCUGUAGCUUUUCCGUAAUGCAAUUUUCCAACAUCGUCUGUUCUUUUAUGAACUAUUAUAGCA